RNAcentral lists this ribosomal RNA (433 nucleotides) under uncultured bacterium. RNAcentral describes it as "partial 16S ribosomal RNA". It matches the Rfam family "Bacterial small subunit ribosomal RNA", at positions 29 to 507 of the family's 1533-position model. The record is from RNAcentral.
AGCGAACGCUGGCGGCAGGCUUAACACAUGCAAGUCGAGCGGGCCCUUCGGGGUCAGCGGCGGACGGGUGAGUAACGCGUGGGAACGUGCCUUCUGGUCUGGAAUAACCCUGGGAAACUAGGGCUAAUACCGGAUACGCCCUUUUGGGGAAAGGUUUACUGCCGGAAGAUCGGCCCGCGUCUGAUUGGCUAGUUGGUGGGGUAACGGCCUACCAAGGCGACGAUCAGUAGCUGGUCUGAGAGGAUGAUCAGCCACACUGGGACUGAGACACGGCCCAGACUCCUACGGGAGGCAGCAGUGGGGAAUAUUGGACAAUGGGCGCAAGCCUGAUCCAGCCAUGCCGCGUGAGUGAUGAAGGCCUUAGGGUUGUAAAGCUCUUUUAUCCGGGACGAUAAUGACGGUACCGGAGGAAUAAGCCCCGGCUAACUUCGUG